This is a long non-coding RNA of Maniola jurtina (meadow brown), 252 nucleotides long. RefSeq lists it as uncharacterized. Lineage: Eukaryota; Metazoa; Arthropoda; Insecta; Lepidoptera; Nymphalidae. The record is from RefSeq and is a predicted model, not a curated record. The transcript has 3 exons.
CAAAAAUGUAAUUAUUCACAAACACACAUUAUAAAUAACCUUUACAUGGCAAUACAAGUGAAUAUCUUUUUUCUCCCAACUUUAUUUGAUAGACUUUGAUGAAGUUUUUUGUUAGACUAAUUUACUAGAACAAGCAUGAGAAGUUUGAUUCGUGAACGAGAGCUUGAGGUUCACGGUUUUGUUAGUUUGGGUCUGAAACUCUAUGGAAUUCGAAAAUCUCCUUUGCAGUCCCAAAAAUGCAUUUUAGCUAAU